Molecule: transfer RNA, 87 nt
Filed under: Flavobacterium sp.
Lineage: Bacteria; Pseudomonadati; Bacteroidota; Flavobacteriia; Flavobacteriales; Flavobacteriaceae
Also listed under: 1 other name
Description: tRNA-Leu
Rfam family: tRNA
About the family: Transfer RNA (tRNA) molecules are approximately 80 nucleotides in length. Their secondary structure includes four short double-helical elements and three loops (D, anti-codon, and T loops).
Source: RNAcentral
GCCCAGGUGGCGGAAUUGGUAGACGCAGCAGACUCAAAAUCUGCCGUUCGCAAGGAUGUGCUGGUUCGAUUCCAGUCCUGGGCACAA